Molecule: non-coding RNA, 89 nt
Filed under: Pedobacter suwonensis
Lineage: Bacteria; Pseudomonadati; Bacteroidota; Sphingobacteriia; Sphingobacteriales; Sphingobacteriaceae
Source: RNAcentral
AAAUAAACCUGAUAGUAGUGGUAUUUCGCUUUACUAAACCUUAAUUUAGCACGAACAUUAACGAAAUUUAACGGAUAGCAGGACUAUCA